Molecule: ribosomal RNA, 315 nt
Filed under: uncultured eukaryote
Lineage: Eukaryota
Description: partial 18S ribosomal RNA
Rfam family: Eukaryotic small subunit ribosomal RNA
Source: RNAcentral
CCCUUAGACGUUCUGGGCCGCACGCGCGCUACACUGACCAGUGCAACAAGCAUCCGUCCUUGGCCGACAGGCUCGGGCAAUCUUUGAACGCUGGUCGUGAUGGGGAUAGACUUUUGCAAUUUUUGGUCUUCAACGAAGAAUUCCUAGUAAACGCAAGUCAUCAACUUGCAUUGAUUACGUCCCUGCCCUUUGUACACACCGCCCGUCGCACCUACCGAUUGAAUGGUCCGGUGAAGCCUCCGGAUUGGCGCGCACCUCGGUGCCGCCGAGAAGUUGGCUAAACCUUACCAUUUAGAGGAAGGUGAAGUCGUAACA